UGAGGAAUAUUGCGCAAUGGGGGAAACCCUGACGCAGCAACGCCGCGUGGGUGAAGAAGGCCUUCGGGUCGUAAAGCCCUUUCGGACGGGACGAACGCUCCGCGGGGAUAAUCCGCGGAGUCUGACGGUACCGUAGGAAGAAGCACCGGCUAACUCCGUGCCAGCAGCCGCGGUAAUACGGAGGGUGCAAGCGUUGUUCGGAAUUACUGGGCGUAAAGCGCGUGUAGGCGGCUUGGUAAGUCAGAUGUGAAAGCCCUCGGCUUAACCGGGGAAGUGCAUCUGAAACUGCCUGGCUUGAGUACGGGAGAGGGAGGCGGAAUUCCCAGUGUAGAGGUGAAAUUCGUAGAUAUUGGGAGGAACACCGGUGGCGAAAGCGGCCUCCUGGACCGAUACUGACGCUGAGACGCGAAAGCGUGGGGAGCAAACAGGAUUAGAUACCCUGGUAGUCCACGCUGUAAACGAUGGGCACUAGGUGUGGGGGGUAUCCACUCCUCCCGUGCCGCAGCUAACGCAUUAAGUGCCCCGCCUGGGGAGUACGGCCGCAAGGCUA
RNAcentral lists this ribosomal RNA (550 nucleotides) under uncultured bacterium. Its description in RNAcentral is "bacterial SSU rRNA". It matches the Rfam family "Bacterial small subunit ribosomal RNA", at positions 355 to 896 of the family's 1533-position model. The record is from RNAcentral.